GGAUAGCGGAGAAAUUCCAAUCGAACUCGGAGAUAGCUGGUUCUCCUCGAAAUAGUUUUAGGACUAGCCUUGUUAAGUAGUAUAUGGGGGUAGAGCACUGAAGGAGCUAGGGGCCAAACCAGGUUACUGAACUCUAUCAAACUCCGAAUACCAUAUACGUAAAAACAGGAGUCAGACUGCGGGAGCUAAGUUCCGUGGUCAAAAGGGAAAGAGCCCAGAUCGUCAAUUAAGGUCCCAAAGAUAUAGUUAAGUGGAAAACGAUGUGAUUUUGCGUAAACAACCAGGAUGUUGGCUUAGAAGCAGCCAUUCAUUUAAAGAGUGCGUAAUAGCUCACUGGUCGAGUGAAGUUGCGCGGAAAAUUACCGGGGCUAAACUAUACACCGAAAUUGCGGAUUCAUGAGUAAUCAUGAGUGGUAGAGGAGCAUUCUGUUGUAGGAAGAAGUGUGAUCGAAAGGACAUGUGGACGAAGCAGAAGAGAGAAUGCCGGAAUAAGUAGCGAAAGCAUGGUGAGAAUCCAUGCCAUCGAAAGUCUAAGGUUUCCUGGGGAAGGUUCGUCCGCCCAGGGUAAGUCGGGACCUAAGGUGAGGCCGAAAGGCGUAGCCGAUGGACAGCAGGUAGAAAUUCCUGCACUACCGAAAUACUUAAAAGAUGCAAGGGACACAGGAGUGGAAGGAAAGCGAGGAAGAGGAAAGACUCGUAUCGAAAGAUAUAGUGAAAAUUAAAGUAACGAAUUUCCAAGAAGCACACUGGCGAGAAAAGCUUGUAGAUAUUGUAUAGAGGUACCCGUACCGCAAACCGACACAGGUAGAUGAGGAGAGGAUCCUAAGAUGAGCGAGAGAAGCAUUGUUAAGGAACUCGGCAAACCAACCCCGUAACUUAGGGAGAAGGGGUGCCUAUGUAAAAAUAGGCCGCAGAGAAGAGGCCCAAGCAACUGUUUAACAAAAACACAGGUUUCUGCUAAAUCGAAAGAUGAAGUAUAGGAGCUGACGCCUGCCCAGUGCUGGAAGGUUAAGGGAAAAUGUAAGUACAGAAGUAUGAAGCAUAGAACCAAAGCCCCAGUGAACGGCGGCCGUAACUAUAACGGUCCUAAGGUAGCGAAAUUCCUUGUCAGGUAAGUUCUGACCCGCACGAAAGGCGUAAUGAUUUGGGCGCUGUCUCGACAAUGUACUCGGCGAAAUUGUAGUACUAGUGAAGAUGCUAGUUACCUGCGACAAGACAGAAAGACCCCAUGGAGCUUUACUGUAGCUUGAUACUGGGUUUCGAUAAUUUAUGUACAGGAUAGGUGGGAUGCAAAGAAGCAAGUGCGCCAGCAUUUGUGGAGCAGACGUUGGGAUACCACCCUUAAGUUAUUGGAAUUCUAACCUGUAGUCAUGAACUGGCUAGGGGACAAUGUCAGGCGGGCAGUUUGACUGGGGCGGUCGCCUCCAAAAGAGUAACGGAGGCGCGCAAAGGUUUCCUCAGCGCGGACAGAAAUCGCGCAAGAGAGUGCAAAGGCAGAAGGAAGCUUAACUGAGAGACUGACAAGUCGACCAGAUACGAAAGUAGGUCUUAGUGAUCCGGCGGUAGUGAGUGGAAAUGCCGUCGCUCAACGGACAAAAGUUACCCUGGGGAUAACAGGCUUAUCUCCCCCAAGAGUUCACAUCGACGGGGAGGUUUGGCACCUCGAUGUCGGCUCAUCACAUCCUGGAGCGGAAGUACGUUCCAAGGGUUGGGCUGUUCGCCCAUUAAAGUGGUACGCGAGCUGGGUUCAGAACGUCGUGAGACAGUUCGGUCCUUAUCUGUCGCAGGCGCAGGAUAUUUGAGGGGAGUUGACCUUAGUACGAGAGGACCAGGUUGAACUUACCAAUGGUGUAUCAGUUGUCAUACCAAUGGCACGGCUGAGUAGCUAAGUAGGGAAGGGAUAAACGCUGAAAGCAUCUAAGUGUGAAGCCCACCCCAAGAUAAGAUAUCCCAUACCGUAAGGUAGUAAGAUUCCACAAAGACUAUGUGGAGAUAGGUUGGAGGUGUAAGUGCAGUAAUGCAUGUAGCUGACCAAUACUAAUAAAUCGAGGGCUUAACCAC
This 2061-nucleotide ribosomal RNA is filed under the name human gut metagenome. RNAcentral's name for it is "bacterial LSU rRNA". It matches the Rfam family "Bacterial large subunit ribosomal RNA", at positions 813 to 2925 of the family's 2925-position model. The record is from RNAcentral.